CCUACGGGUGGCAGCAGUGAGGAAUAUUGGUCAAUGGCCGGAAGGCUGAACCAGCCAUGCCGCGUGAAGGUCAGUGCCCUAUGGGCGUUAAACUUCUUUUGUGCGGGAGCAAUAAUGGUCACGUGUGGCCAGACGAGAGUACCGUACGAAUAAGCAUCGGCUAACUCCGUGCCAGCAGCCGCGGUAAUACGGGGGAUGCAAGCGUUAUCCGGAUUUAUUGGGUUUAAAGUGUGCGUAGGCUGUGAGGUAAGUCAGCGGUGAAAUGCCCCCGCUCAACGGGGUGAAGUGCCAUUGAUACUGCCUGGCUGGAAUGCGGAUGCGGUGGGAGGAAUGUGUGGUGUAGCGGUGAAAUGCAUAGAUAUCACACAGAACACCGAUUGCGAAGGCAUCUCACGAAUCCGCGAUUGACGCUGAUGCACGAAAGCGUGGGUAUCAAACAGGAUUAGAUACCCGGGUAGUC
Molecule: ribosomal RNA, 460 nt
Filed under: uncultured bacterium
Lineage: Bacteria
Description: partial 16S ribosomal RNA
Rfam family: Bacterial small subunit ribosomal RNA
Source: RNAcentral